AGAACGAACGCUGGCGGCAUGCCUAACACAUGCAAGUCGAACGAGACCUUCGGGUCUAGUGGCGCACGGGUGCGUAACGCGUGGGAAUCUGCCCUUAGGUACGGAAUAACAGUGAGAAAUUACUGCUAAUACCGUAUGAUGUCUUCGGACCAAAGAUUUAUCGCCUAGGGAUGAGCCCGCGUUGGAUUAGCUAGUUGGUGGGGUAAAGGCCUACCAAGGCGACGAUCCAUAGCUGGUCUGAGAGGAUGAUCAGCCACACUGGGACUGAGACACGGCCCAGACUCCUACGGGAGGCAGCAGUGGGGAAUAUUGGACAAUGGGCGAAAGCCUGAUCCAGCAAUGCCGCGUGAGUGAAGAAGGCCUUAGGGUUGUAAAGCUCUUUUACCCGGGAGAUAAUGACUGUACCGGGAGAAUAAGCCCCGGCUAACUCCGCGCCAGCAGCCGC
RNAcentral lists this ribosomal RNA (445 nucleotides) under uncultured bacterium. RNAcentral's name for it is "SSU rRNA". It matches the Rfam family "Bacterial small subunit ribosomal RNA", at positions 26 to 518 of the family's 1533-position model. The record is from RNAcentral.